This is a long non-coding RNA of Girardinichthys multiradiatus, 407 nucleotides long. RefSeq lists it as uncharacterized. The record is from RefSeq and is a predicted model, not a curated record. The transcript is spliced from 3 exons. NCBI's taxonomy places the organism in Eukaryota, Metazoa, Chordata, Actinopteri, Cyprinodontiformes, Goodeidae.
CAAGGUUUGGACCCGGGCCCGGUGACAUAGGUUUGGGGCGUGGACUCCACUCCUCUCGGACCAAUCAGAGUUCACGGGGAGACUUUGUAAACAACUCUUCCACGUUGGUUUUGAAGAUCGUUUUUGGUUCCGAACUACGGAGGGACGUCGCGGUGCUGCGCUGCAGUGAGUCCGAAUCGCCAGAACCAGGACCCUCUGCCACACUCGGAGGUCUCUUCAUCCAGGGACUCUUAAAAGACAGCAGCCAAGAGCCACAGGGGAGAAGAAAAAUGAAAUGCUGUGUUUUCUGUUUGUGUGACCAUGGAUGUGGACCACUGAGGGACGGGGAUGAGUAACAGGAGUAACACUGAACUGAACCGGUGACUACCUGGAGGUUACCCAGGCUGGCCCCGGUGGCUUCGUUCAAA